Molecule: long non-coding RNA, 2877 nt
Filed under: Salmo salar (Atlantic salmon)
Lineage: Eukaryota; Metazoa; Chordata; Actinopteri; Salmoniformes; Salmonidae
Description: lncRNA (ENSSSAG00000122283.1)
Source: RNAcentral
UUAGAUUCAGACAGUGAUAACUUCCUGUCUCUGAAGAAGUCUGCAAAGCCCCAGGAUAAUGGAGUGACCAAACCAGGGAAGGCCCGCACCGGGACCAAAGAGAUCUACAGGUCCCCCUCGAAACCCACCCCUGCGCCCCACACCAAACGCACCCCCACCUCUGUCCUGGACUACUUUGGCAGUGGGAGUGUCCAGCGCUCGGGCAAGAAACUGGUAGCAAGUACCAAGAGGAAAGCUGACCAUGAUGAGUCGCUGACUGAUGAGGUCAUCGCCCAGCAGCUGCAGAUGGACGAGGACAUGGAGUUGGAGAGGCUGGUCCACGAGGACGAGGAGUUUGCCAGGACGCUGGCCAUGUUGGACCAAGAACCACACGCCAAAAAGGCUCGUAAGGACUCUGGUGAGGAUCUGGGGUCUGACACGUCAGCCAACAAAAGCAUCGCUAACUCCUCCCACAGCAGCACUACCAGCCAAUCACAGUCCAAUGGGCGGGACCACAACCAGGACGUGAUCGGUCCGUCCCCUAAAAAGGUCCCCCCUCUUGUUAAAACCAGUUCCAAACUGGCCGUGAUGAAGAGAAGGGAGGUGGAAGAGGAAGGAGGAGGGAAGACAAAUCUGACUAUCAAAAUGCCCGUCUCUCCCAAAAAGGAGUUCCUAACCACUUCAAGCACAGACAGGAAGUCCAACACCAGUCCAGAGGAUUCAGAGAAGAAGCGAGGGAACUCCUCAGCCUUCCGUAGUUUCCUGAACAGAGACGGACCCAGAGCCCUGGGGUCUAAACCCAUACCCACUGGAGCAGAGAACUGCCUGGAGGGGUGUGUGUUUGUGAUAUCUGGUGUGUUGGAGAGUAUGGAACGUGAGGAUGCUAAGUCCCUGAUCGAGCGCUACGGAGGGAAGGUGACCGGCAACGUCAGCAAGAGGACGACAUACCUGGUGAUGGGCAGAGACGGAGGAGCGGCCAAGACUGACAAGGCGGAGGGGUUUGGAACUAAGAUCCUGGAUGAGGAUGGUCUGUUAGAGCUCAUCAGAUGUUCACCAGGGAAGAAAUCCAAGUACCUGAUUGCUGCCGAGGCCGAGGCCUUGUCUCGCACUCCCAAACAGUCCCCAAAACCCAGCCCCUCCAAACCUGGCUCGGCGUCGGGGCGAGGAGUCAGGGUGGGGGACAGCGUGACCCCCCCAGCGAGAGGUACAGGUUCAGGGGUCAAAAGAGGGCUGGACUUGGGGGGUAAGAGCCAAUCAUCUUCCUCCUCUGCCACUCCGUCUUUGCCCUCAUUCGCUGGUGAAGAUUUCAGUCUGCUGUGGGUGGAUAAGUACCGCCCCCAGAAUCUGAAGGCUGUGAUUGGUCAGCAGGGAGACCAGAGCCAAGCCAAUAAGUUGCUUCGCUGGCUGAAGAACUGGCACACCCACCAUGCAGUGGGAGGGUUCAGCAGUACUAAGGAUAACGGCUCCAGCUUCAAGGCAGCGCUGCUGUCUGGUCCUCCAGGGGUGGGCAAGACCACCACAGCUGCUCUGGUCUGUCAGGAGCUGGGUUAUAGUUAUGUAGAGAUGAAUGCCAGCUGUACCCGCAGUAAGAACAGUCUGAAUCUGAUCGCUGAGUCUCUGAACAACAGCAGCAUCAACAACUACUACACAGGUUCGUCUCAGACAGUCAGCAGUAAGCAUGUUCUCAUCAUGGAUGAGAUUGAUGGCAUGGCAGGAAACGAAGACCGCGGAGGAAUACAGGAGAUGAUAAGUCUGAUUAAACAGUCCAGGAUCCCCAUCAUCUGUAUGUGUAAUGAUCGUAACCACCAGAAGAUCCGGUCUCUGGCCAACUACUGCUUUGACCUGCGCUUCCAGAGACCACGACUGGAACAGAUCAAGGGUGCCAUGAUGUCCAUUGCUUUCAAAGAGGGUCUGAAAGUCCCGCCUCCUGCCCUCAACGAGAUGAUCCUGGCGUCCAAUCAGGACAUCCGACAGGUCCUCCACAACCUGAGCAUGUGGUCGGCUAAGGACAAGGUCAUGACCUACGACCGGGUCAAAGAGGACGCCAACAACGCACGCAAGGACAUGAAGCUGGGUCCGUUUGACGUGUGUCGGAAGGUGUUCUCCAAGGGGGAGGAGUCGGGUCACAUGACGCUGAUUGACAAGUCGGACCUACCUGCUGCUGCUGGUGGUGAUCUGAAGUCCCACCUGGUCCUCCUCAGUAAGACAGCUGAUUGUAUCUGUGAUGGAGACCUGGUGGACAGACAGAUACGGUCCAAACAGGCCUGGUCUCUACUGCCCACACAGGCGAUCUAUUCCAGUGUGUUACCAGGAGAGUUGAUGCGUGGCUAUAUGAACUCUUUCCCCUCGUUUCCCUCCUGGCUGGGAAAGUUCUCCUCCUGCAAUAAACACUCUCGGAUCAUUCAGGAGCUGGCCUCUCACAUGAGCCUCAAUGAGCCUGGACUACCUCCCUUACCUCCGCAUGUCCCUGCUGUGUCCUCUUCAGAGGCGCGGGCGGAGGGGGCUGGUCAGGCUGUCCAGCUGUUAGAUGACUACCACCUGGUCAGAGAGGAUGUGGACAGCCUCAUGGAGAUCAGCCUCUGGGGGGGCCAGCCUGACCCUUACGCUCAACUAGACCCCAAGGUGAAGUCAGCGUUCACGAGGGCCUAUAACCGGGAGACCCACCUGACACCCUACUCCCUCCAACCAAUCAAGAAGGGCCGUCGUGGCGGGGGAGUGGAGGCAGAACUGGGAGGAGAGGAGCAAGCGGAACAGCCUGAGGAAGAGGAGGAGGAGGAAGGUGUUGCAGCUGACGCCAUGAUCAAAAUUAUGUUAGGACACCAACCUAAACAAGAAAAACCACGCAGCCAUUUUACAAGCAAGGGAGAGGCGUCACAAAAAAACCAGAAAUACAGCUAA